This is a long non-coding RNA of Cervus elaphus (red deer), 2796 nucleotides long. RefSeq lists it as uncharacterized. The transcript has 4 exons. The record is from RefSeq and is a predicted model, not a curated record. NCBI's taxonomy places the organism in Eukaryota, Metazoa, Chordata, Mammalia, Artiodactyla, Cervidae.
GGGGAUGGGGGUGGGAGGAAUAGAUGUGUACACGGGUCAGAGUAAUGGGAGUCUCUUUUUCUGGUCUUCUCAUUCAAGAACAAGCCGGCGGAGAGAGGAGGACACGCGCGCGCACACGCACGGGGAGAGAUCUUGCGGGUGAUGAAUAUGAUAAUUGGACAAGGGACGGGAUGAAAAAGCUGAGGCUUGCAGAGACUGGUCAACUUGCUCCACAUCACGUGGUUGGCAAAGGCAGCACCAGAAGUCAAAGCCCAUGCUCUUCACCACUUGAUCUUCUGUGUUUUCAUCUAUGUUUCCAUCAAGGGAAUUUCUGAUCUUAAUUUCAUUUCUCAGGCAUGUGAAGAGCUGCUUUGGAACCAGGAUGUCCGCAAAGUCAAGAAGGUCAAACUGAAGCCUCUCCAUGAAGAUCUCCAUGAACCUGAGGUCCUCAUGAAGUGCUUCUAUCCUUGCAUCCAUCCAGUUGCUAUGGCGGGAUGUUGGGUGGGUUCCAUUCUUUGCUAAGAGAUUGGGUAUCAACAUGUGGAAGAAGGAUCUGACCGCUAAGGCAAUAAUAAAAAAUGAAGCCAGGAUUCAUAUUCAGCCGGUAGGUAUGAAGGUGACAGAUUUUUCCCAGUCAGAAUCUGCUCCCAUUGGUCAGUGGCCACAGUGGGCUGCUUAUUAUAUGUACUGACUCUCACUCCUGGAUAAAGCUUGUUUGCUGCUGGUUUUGCAGAGGCUCUUCUUGGUUCUGUGCUCUGCCUGGUGCCAACUCUUUUCCCAUCUGCCUCCUGAGAACAUAGAGGUAUCACGGGAAAUAAGCACAGGGGCUCCAGGUGGGGCCUCACGUGGUGCUGACACAAUGUAGCAGGUCCCCAUUGCCCUGGUGUCCCCCAGAGCCUGAGGGGGUGCGUCCAUUCAACUGGCUCAGUGCUGAGAACAGGAGCCAGAUCUUCUUCAAUCCUUCAUCAUGACAAUCCUGUGCUGAUGUUUAAACAGUGCUCAAAAUACAUUCAAUGAGUGAAUAAACCCUCCAGAAAGUAUCCAAGCAUCAGAUACAGUUUAGGGAGCUGUUGGCUUAUUCGUGGUGGAGGGUGAAUUAAAAAGACUAGAUCACAUCCCUCAGGGAAUUCCAGUGUAUGGUGGAUGAUUCCAUCACUACGUGACAAAGAUAAAGGACAUGCAGAUGGGCAUUUUAUGAGUGCAAACGGAUUUAAUUUUUAAAAGUCAAGGUCAUCAUUAAGGAAAACGAAAGAAGCAAGAGAAGGACAAGUAGAGGUUUUUUUUUUUGUUUUUUUUUAAUUGGAUGUAAAGGCCCCAGGAGAAGCAAAUUCCUCUGGAAACAGCCCAGCCUGUGGCAUUUCUUCUUUUUCCAAAGGCUGGUUUUGUUGGGUUUUUAACUGAGAGCCUCAGGAUGGAAGGAGAAGCUAUCUCCCCAGCACAGAGUUUUCCCCCUCUUUUCCAAAGGGAAGGCAGAUUUGGGAAACUGGCACUGCCCCUACCCAGAUGGCAGCCAGCAGCUGGCUCUGGCAAGGGCAAGUUCUCACUCCCGGCUGCGGGCUGCCCGGCCCCUCCCGUUCCCCCAGCAAGGCCGGGCCAUUAGGAAGCGGAGAAUGCGAGGGCCGGGCCGUGCCAGCGGCUCCUCACCACCCUGACCCGGCUUCCCUGGCUCCGGCACCCGGGCCCACAGCCGGGGAGCCGGGGAGCGGACCCAGAGGCCCCAGCCAGCAGCCUUAGCCUCCUGCUUCCCGCCUCAGCUGCUGACUUGGCCCUGUGCUGGACCGCACGAUGGCCGCUGACAUCCACGGGGCCGGCGAGCGAGGGACAAAGAGUGGCAGUGACUUCAGGGCGCCUGGCCUGGCUACAGCACCGCUGGCUGGCUGGGGUGCCAGGGCUCGGAUGGUCAGCCUGGUGGCCCGUGGCUGCCCCUGUCCCGUACCAGACACGCCCCGUCGCUCCCCAGAUCGCACCUAUCCCCGUGGUCUUCACCCGAGGCACAUUUUUCUUUCUCCCAGCUUUUCUUCCUUUUCCUUCUUCCUCCUCCCUCUUUCUUCCUUGUGUUCCCUUCUCCUCUCCUCUGUUCUCCUCUUUUCUCUUCCGUUCCUCCCUCUCCUCCACCCCCUUCUCACUUCACAGAGUGUCUUUCUCCUACUUCUUCACUUUCCUCCUCUUUACUUUUUUCUUCAAACGUGUAUUAACUACACCUUCUCUAUCAGUCCCUCUAUGAGCCUCUGGCAGGACACAGAUGCCAUACACUUGGCCCUGCCCCUGACAUUUGCACAUGAGAUGAGUCUAUGACAGCUGAUGAAGACCGAGUGUGUGAAGUACCACACAUGCCCACAAAUGACUGGGGAAACAGAGGCAAGGGUCACUGGUUUCUGCCUGACCCAUUUUGGGGAAAAGUUUGCUGAGGAGCUGCCAUUUUUCAGUUUGGUUGCUCACUCGGCUUUGUAUGUUCCCAAGGAAAGAUAUAGAUUUCCAGGUCUGGUUGGAAAAAUGGAAGCUUUGAUUUUUGUUUCAGUUUCUGUUUAUGAAUUCAGAUUCUAAGGCUUUGAAUUUCCAUUAAAUCCAGUUUAUCUACUUUUUUUUCUUUUGUGGACAGUGCUUUUGCUAUUGUAUCAAAGAGCUUUUUGCAACUAGCCCAAUGUUGUAAAGAUUUUCUGCUGUAUUUACUAUUAGAAAUUUCAUAAAUUUGCAAUUACAUUUACAGACUAUGAACCAUUUUGAGUGAAUUUUUGUAUAUAGUAUGUAUAGAGGGUGUUUUUUGUUUUGUUUUGUUUUGUUUUGCAUCGUUGUCGUUUAGUCGCUAAAUUGUGCCUG